GUCGCCUUUCGUGUCUUUUCAGCUCCGCAUCGCUAAAGUCGAUAAAUUCAUUCAUCUUGAAAGCGAUUUCCUAGGGUCCGCAAAACAAUUUCCUUCACGGCUCUUUUUUUUUUUUUAUUUUUACAAUCGAUGUUGCUGAUGAAUUUCGCGGGGAAUUUUCGCCGCUAUUAAUAGAUUUGUCUUAUGGUAUGAUGAAAUGGUCUUAUGGUAUGGUGAAAU
RNAcentral lists this long non-coding RNA (219 nucleotides) under Mytilus galloprovincialis (Mediterranean mussel). Lineage: Eukaryota; Metazoa; Mollusca; Bivalvia; Mytilida; Mytilidae. The record is from RNAcentral.